CAACCUGCGAAGCAGAAGGUGGCGCUAAUUUGCACACUACACUGAUUCCUUACCGCUCUUUGGAAAAACACAGAAGAAGAAAAGUUUGAACAACGCAGCAAGGCGGGAAGCAGCAGACAGUAGGGUUGCAGAAACUACCUACGCAGCAGCAAUCAGCCUCACUGGACUUACUUUUCAGAUCAGUUUAUGCCUUUGCAUCUUGCUGUUCCAGUUUCAAGAAGUUAAGGAAGAUAACUGGAGAUGUGAUAACGAUACCAGCAAAAAUUGUUGAAGAAGACUGAGAAGAA
Perca fluviatilis (European perch) is the source of this 287-nucleotide long non-coding RNA. RefSeq lists it as uncharacterized. The transcript is spliced from 3 exons. The record is from RefSeq and is a predicted model, not a curated record. Lineage: Eukaryota; Metazoa; Chordata; Actinopteri; Perciformes; Percidae.